This 137-nucleotide ribosomal RNA is filed under the name uncultured bacterium. Its description in RNAcentral is "partial 16S ribosomal RNA". It matches the Rfam family "Bacterial small subunit ribosomal RNA", at positions 355 to 509 of the family's 1533-position model. The record is from RNAcentral.
UGGGGAAUAUUGGACAAUGGGCGCAAGCCUGAUCCAGCCAUGCCGCGUGAGUGAUGAAGGCCCUAGGGUUGUAAAGCUCUUUUACCCGGGAUGAUAAUGACAGUACCGGGAGAAUAAGCCCCGGCUAACUUCGUGCC